GCGGCAGGCUUAACACAUGCAAGUCGAACGGGCACUUCGGUGCUAGUGGCAGACGGGUGAGUAACACGUGGGAACGUACCUUUCGGUUCGGAAUAAUUCAGGGAAACUUGGACUAAUACCGGAUAAGCCCUUCGGGGGAAAGAUUUAUCGCCGAUAGAUCGGCCCGCGUCUGAUUAGCUAGUUGGUGAGGUAAUGGCUCACCAAGGCGACGAUCAGUAGCUGGUCUGAGAGGAUGAUCAGCCACACUGGGACUGAGACACGGCCCAGACUCCUACGGGAGGCAGCAGUGGGGAAUAUUGGACAAUGGGCGAAAGCCUGAUCCAGCCAUGCCGCGUGUGUGAUGAAGGCCUUAGGGUUGUAAAGCACUUUUGUCCGGGAAGAUAAUGACUGUACCGGAAGAAUA
RNAcentral lists this ribosomal RNA (403 nucleotides) under alpha proteobacterium BAL183. Its description in RNAcentral is "bacterial SSU rRNA". It matches the Rfam family "Bacterial small subunit ribosomal RNA", at positions 39 to 488 of the family's 1533-position model. Lineage: Bacteria; Pseudomonadati; Pseudomonadota; Alphaproteobacteria. The record is from RNAcentral.